RNAcentral lists this long non-coding RNA (269 nucleotides) under Piliocolobus tephrosceles (Ugandan red Colobus). Its description in RNAcentral is "lncRNA (ENSPTEG00000007088.1)". The record is from RNAcentral. Lineage: Eukaryota; Metazoa; Chordata; Mammalia; Primates; Cercopithecidae.
UACACAAAUAAACAGCUGUAGGUCUCCCAGUCCAAUUUCAAAGUCAUGUACAGGAGACGCUCCUACUUCAUCUGGCCCCAUGGAGCUGGCUUCGUAGGAUGAAACUGUAAUGCACCAAGAAGUAAAGGAACAAUUGGGUUUCAUGACUUUAAAAGUCCAACAUUGGGAAGAAUAAAAAAUGAAGUUGGCCAACGAGAUUUGCUCUUACUCUUAACUGUAAGGACUAUGAUUUUAAAUGGACAUUCCGCCAUCUUGUUUGAGGAAUUCUG